This 347-nucleotide ribosomal RNA is filed under the name uncultured Oscillospiraceae bacterium. RNAcentral's name for it is "bacterial SSU rRNA". It matches the Rfam family "Bacterial small subunit ribosomal RNA", at positions 355 to 716 of the family's 1533-position model. Lineage: Bacteria; Bacillati; Bacillota; Clostridia; Eubacteriales; Oscillospiraceae. The record is from RNAcentral.
UGGGGGAUAUUGCACAAUGGGCGAAAGCCUGAUGCAGCAACGCCGCGUGAGGGAAGAAGGUUUUCGGAUUGUAAACCUCUGUCCUCGGUGACGAAACAAAUGACGGUAGCCGAGGAGGAAGCCACGGCUAACUACGUGCCAGCAGCCGCGGUAAUACGUAGGUGGCAAGCGUUGUCCGGAAUUACUGGGUGUAAAGGGAGCGCAGGCGGGGAAGCAAGUCAGCAGUGAAAUACAUGGGCUUAACCCAUGAACUGCCGUUGAAACUGUUUUUCUUGAGUGAAGUAGAGGCAGGCGGAAUUCCGAGUGUAGCGGUGAAAUGCGUAGAUAUUCGGAGGAACACCAGUGGC